RNAcentral lists this long non-coding RNA (345 nucleotides) under Manihot esculenta (cassava). RNAcentral's name for it is "long non-coding RNA (MESC_LNC007263)". The record is from RNAcentral. Lineage: Eukaryota; Viridiplantae; Streptophyta; Magnoliopsida; Malpighiales; Euphorbiaceae.
GUGAUCCUAACGUGGAGAUAUGAAGAAAACCUCUUCCAAAGCUCCAAACUUCCAAACUUGUUAUUUUUGCUCAAAACCUUCAAAACACACCAAAACUCUUAAAACCCUUGAAAGAUUUGGUGAAAAACAUGAAAAACAUGAAAGUCAACUUGGGAGAGGCUUGAACUCACCUUUGACUGCAAGUGGAGGAGAAAUAUCCUCCUUCCACCGACCUUUGGCCCUUUUAUAGGUGGCUGGCCAGACCACCUUCGGCAGCCGAACGUGAAUCCGAAACCAUGCAAUGUUCGGCGGCCGAAAGUGACCUUCGGCGGCCGAACCUUUGCAUUUCUCCCUUAUUGCUUUUCU